RNAcentral lists this ribosomal RNA (253 nucleotides) under uncultured bacterium. RNAcentral describes it as "partial 16S ribosomal RNA". It matches the Rfam family "Bacterial small subunit ribosomal RNA", at positions 524 to 776 of the family's 1533-position model. The record is from RNAcentral.
UACGUAGGGGGCGAGCGUUGUCCGGAAUUAUUGGGCGUAAAGAGCGUGUAGGCGGCCUGACAAGUCUGCUGUGAAAACUCGAGGCUCAACCUCGAGAUGUCGGCGGAAACUGUCUGGCUAGAGUCCGGAAGAGGAGAGUGGAAUUCCUGGUGUAGCGGUGAAAUGCGCAGAUAUCAGGAAGAACACCUAUGGCGAAGGCAGCUCUCUGGGACGGUACUGACGCUGAGACGCGAAAGCGUGGGGAGCGAACAGG